UCGUCAGCUCGUGUCGUGAGAUGUUGGGUUAAGUCCCGCAACGAGCGCCACCAUCGUCAUUAGUUGCCAUCAUUAAGUUGGGCACUCUAAUGAGACAGAACAGAGACAAACCGGAGGAAGGUGGGGAUGACGUCAAGUCAUCAUGCCCUUUAUGACCUGGGCUACACACGUGCUACAAUGGACGGUACAACGAGAAGCGAACCUGCGAAGGCAAGCGGAUCUCUUAAAGCCGUUCUCAGUUCGGACUGUAGGCUGCAACUCGCCUACACGAAGCUGGAAUCGCUAGUAAUCGCGGAUCAGCACGCCUCGGUGAAUACGUUCCCGGGCCUUGUACACACCGCCCGUCACACCAUGAGAGUCUGUAACACCCAAAGCCGGUGGGAUAACCUUUAUAGGAGUCAGCCGUCUAAGUUUGUCCAGGAUGAUUAGGGUGAAGUCGUAACAAGGUAGCCGUA
RNAcentral lists this ribosomal RNA (455 nucleotides) under uncultured bacterium. RNAcentral describes it as "bacterial SSU rRNA". It matches the Rfam family "Bacterial small subunit ribosomal RNA", at positions 1052 to 1504 of the family's 1533-position model. The record is from RNAcentral.